This is a long non-coding RNA of Suricata suricatta (meerkat), 960 nucleotides long. RefSeq lists it as uncharacterized. The transcript is spliced from 3 exons. NCBI's taxonomy places the organism in Eukaryota, Metazoa, Chordata, Mammalia, Carnivora, Herpestidae. The record is from RefSeq and is a predicted model, not a curated record.
GCAGCUGCUCCUCCAACCUUAUCUUCCCUCUGCCUCCAUGGAAACCUGAGAAAGACGGAAAGGGGGAAGUGGCUUGGUUUCCCAACACAAAUAACCCCAACAGAGCUUUCUCAGCAGUGACCCUUAGCCUGUUGUGUCAGCCUCAGGCUGAAGGAGGAAGGAAAUAGACCUUCUAUUGAGUAUUUUUCUUCCCCUGUCAAGAAGAUCAGAGGAGCUGAGACGAGAAAAGAAAAGGAGUCAAAAGCACCUUGUUGCCUCCUCCUGCAGGAUUUGUGUUGCUCUUCCCCUCCCCUCUUGAGCUCUAAGUAAACAGACUCCCCAGCUGAGGAAGGCCCCGGGCCCAACUCGAGCAGGCCAUAAAUAAGAGCCCUUCAGCCUCUGGCUCUCGGAACAAUCUUUGCAAUGGAACCAGACCAGAGUUCCCUGCGCUCCUCUGGGAGGCUCCAGGCUAUUGCUGGCAUAUCUUCCAGGGUUAGAGGAGCUGGGGAGGUCUCCCUGCUUCGAUUCCUGCCUCAACACAGAGUCCAAAAGGUGGCAGAGAGGCACAAAGGAGGCAAAGUCACCUGCUGAAACCGAAGGCCAGAGGAGAACCAGGCACUCCAGAAGGGAGAAGAGUUUCUAUAUAGCUCUGGUGGGGAAUGUGCUCAAAAUGGCCAGGAGAUGAUUAAAACUGCCCAGCUCCGGAGAGAGACAAAAAAGCCGUGAUGUGGCCCUUUGGCACGGCCCAGAGUUCUGCCAGAUGGACUUGGUGUGUCUCUGCGAGGCAGAGGCUCCCGAAGGUCAGUGAAGAUGGCAGUAGGGCCAGGCUGGACAUGACUCAAGCCCAUAGGACUGGGUAACAGGAGGCCCAAAGCAGCUGGGGCACUGGGGGAGGGUGGGUGGAAGCAGUGGGUGGUUGUCAGCGAGCAGAGGAUGAGGACGCAUGGUGGCCACAGAGAGGGAGCUCCUGGAGUGAGGACA